GGUUGUGACGGUGAUCUGGCUGGCUAGGUGGGUGUCCCCUUCCUCCCUCACUGCUCCAAGUGUGUCCCUCCCCAAGCUGCACGCUGGGUCGAAAACGACGACCAUCUCUGAUAGAGAAGGGUGGGUCUUUGGUCAGGGGUAUAGGAGCAGCUGUGCUCCCCUGCAAGAAACUCCAAACAAGCUCUCAAGAAAUGAAUCUCUUAACAAAUUCAGUGGCAUGUUUUUCAUCCAAUUAGUUCAGGUAUAGCAGGUCCUUGAAUAAAGCUGUUUCCU
Molecule: small nuclear RNA, 273 nt
Filed under: Aotus nancymaae (Ma's night monkey)
Lineage: Eukaryota; Metazoa; Chordata; Mammalia; Primates; Aotidae
Description: 7SK RNA (ENSANAG00000010959.1)
Rfam family: 7SK RNA
About the family: 7SK was discovered as an abundant small nuclear RNA in the mid-70s but a possible function has only recently been suggested. Two independent studies have found that 7SK RNA binds the CDK9/cyclin T complex (known as elongation factor P-TEFb).
Source: Rfam by way of RNAcentral